Molecule: ribosomal RNA, 58 nt
Filed under: Ceiba insignis
Lineage: Eukaryota; Viridiplantae; Streptophyta; Magnoliopsida; Malvales; Malvaceae
Description: partial 18S ribosomal RNA
Source: RNAcentral
AAGGAAUGCUACCUGGUUGAUCCUGCCAGUAAUCAUUAUGCUUGUCUCAAAGAUUAAG